Molecule: long non-coding RNA, 646 nt
Filed under: Homo sapiens (human)
Lineage: Eukaryota; Metazoa; Chordata; Mammalia; Primates; Hominidae
Description: LHRI_LNC857.1
Source: RNAcentral
CGGAAGCGGCCCCGGAGGGCCCAUUGUCCGCGCUUCCGUUCCGGCUCCGCCUCGUCCUCCCGCGGCCAGAGGUGCGACCUCUGAGCCCCUGGCCAGCUCCCAGCCGGCCUAGGGGGGCGGGGGCACGGGGCGGAGGUCCCGCAGCCCGUGCUCGUCCCGCCUCGCUUGGAGGGAGCAAGGGCUCCGAGCCCUGGGCCCAGGUCCUGUGCCUCCGCUUCCCCGGCUGCGGGUACACCCCCAGCUUCCCGAGCCCCCCGGGCCCUCGCUGCUCCACCCAGAAGUUGCGGUGACUGCGGCCCCAGCACCCCGUUCCCUGGCCGGGCAUCACUUGCGCAGCAUGCUGCCCCCAGAGGACAGGGCUACAGUUAGUCGCCCACACCUCAUUCACCCCCUUGGGCCCUUGAGCGUCUUAGAAGCCGCAGAUGCCAAGGAGGGGACGCUGCCUCGCGGAUGGUCACUUGGGAGCAAAGCUGGGGACUAAAGGAACCAGGGACAGAGAUUCCUGCUCUCGCCAAAUUGGCCGCUCUGGGCCAGGCACUGAGGACACACCGCGAAGCCGGAUAGCCAGGUCCUGUCCUCAGGGCCCUGUCCGGAAGAGGACUGGGCAGCCUCGAGUCCGCGGCAAUGAAUGAAUGUUCAAUUGCAC